AAACAAGCCUCAUCACAACUCUUACACAAUCUCUCAAGAGUAAAGUGCUGGCGAUAAACAAACAUACAUUGCCUAUUUUGUAAACUAGACACUAGUAGAGUUUUUCGGGUCAUUGCCUUCUUGCUGAGCCUGAGUCUUAGAACCGUCCUUCUUCUCCAUGACUUGCUGGAUCCCUUCUUGAUAUCCUUCAAUAAAGCUUUUGAGACCGUCUCUAUAAGCAGAAGCUCUAGUCAUGUAGACUCGCUGCAGAGCAGGCCUUAAGGUCUCCAUUCCCCCUCUCGCAGCCACCGCUAAUUAUUUUAAUUAAUUUUUGUUAUAAAAUAAAUUAUGGAAUAAGCAUCAGAAUUUAACACAAACUCCACUUGCAAUGCAAUUGUAAAACAAAGUAUCUAAAGACAUGAAUGAUAACAAUAAUUUAAUUUAGCUCACAUAAUCAAUAAUCAAAAUUAAGAAAGAAAUCUCACCAAGAUCUUCAAGCACGGAGGGUUCCUUGGGUUUAUCAGCAGUUGGUUGAUUGGCAUCUUCUCUCGCAUUCACAUCGUCAUUAUCCUUCUUAUAAUCAUUCGGCCGAAGAUCCGGACCAAUAUCCCUCACCCAGCUUGCCCCAUAAAGCCUCGAUGCCUCCUUCAACACCUUUACCCCCAAAAAAAAAUUUUUUUUUUUUAAUUUUUUGAAAGAAGAAGAUCGAUGAAGAGAAUGAAAAGUGGGGGGUUACUUACUAGCCAACGCUCGUGCCAAGUCAGUUUGCAGCGUUUUUUGAUGUGAGGAGGAUCGGGAAGCGACGAUGGAAAUGCAAUUUCUUUUAAGUCGUAUCGAAUGUAAUCGUACACCUUCCGACAGACUACUUUUACCUUCAUUCUCUUUCUGCGUUUCUCUUCCGCCUGCGAACCAGUGCGCGGGCACUAAUACUGUUACUGAUUACACUUUACACACACUCCCUGAAACAGAAACAGAACCCCCAAACCAUUGGAAUAGGCUAGGAAAUUUAAGGGCUUGGCAAAAAGUCCAAGCUCUCUCAAAGCCCAUCCAAUCUGAACGGGCCUGGGCUUCAACCAAAUUUUAAAUAAUUUUUUAAUAAAACUAUAAAUUUUAAAAUUCUAUAUGGUUGCUGCAGCGUUCUCAUCAAUUUUUUCUGACAAUUAAUCAAAUAUCAUAUAAAAAAAAUUCUAUAUGAAAUUCUUUAAAUCCCUCUCUUCUUCCUUCCGGCCUAUUUAAUUUUUAGCCCUCUGCAAUUUGCUUCUACUAUCUCCAUUUUUAAUUGCUUUGAAAUUAACAAUUGCAUUUAUCAUCAUAAUUUCUUUUCUAAUGCAUCUGAGACAGAAUAUGAAAGAAAGAAACACCAAGUGGAUAAAUAGCCACCAUAUCCGCUUGCAAAGCAAACAAAAAGCCAAAGGCAAGUAUAAAGUCAAGAUGGGAAUAAAUAUACAUUUUUUUCCCAGGUGAUUCAAGAGACUUUAAGAACAUCAAGCAUACUCUCAUUCACUUUUAAAGAAGCUGUACAAGAUGUAGAAUUUGAAGGCUAUAUAAUCCCUAGAGGUUGGAAAGUGCUUCCUCACAUACAUCCAAUGAAGGAAACUAGAAGCAGAAGGCAGUCAGUAGGUUGCAGAGAAAUUAAAGCAGAACGAGAAAAUUAAUUCAAAUAUUACGUGGUUGCUGCAGCGUCGCGCAGCUGUGCUUGUGGGUGGGGUUCGCUGCUGCGUCGUGCGGGAGAUGCUGUGUGGGCCAGGUGGCUGGACGGUGGGUUGCGCGGGAGAUGCUGGCUGAUGGAAUCUGGAUGCGCUGUUGGCUGCCGGCGGCGAGAACAGUGAGAAGCUGGCACGGUGACGGUGAGUGAGGGUGCUGACGCCGCUGACGGAAAUGAGGGAUUUAGAUUUUAGGGAUUUUGGUUUUGGGUCUUGGAACGGAGCAGUGAGAGCCUGAGAGCAGUGUUUUAUUUUUCAAUUUUUCAGUUUUUUUAAUUUGAUUUUUAUAAUAUAUUAUAAAGUUUUUAAUUUAAAAAUAUAUAUAUUAUUUAUUAUAAGCCCCGGGCCUAAGCCUGAGCUUUUGGGUGUAGCCCUUGACUGAGCCCAUUAUAUAUGGGCCUUCGAAAUUACAAGUCCUUAUCCAUCAUUCUAAGCCACGGGCUGGGCUUAAAAUCCGCGGGUCUGGGCCGGCCUGAGCUUUUCUGCCAAUCUUACUUUGGAAUGCGACAGCUGCGAGUGUCGAUUUUGAAAAAGCUUGGGCCUCCGAUUUUUGGGUGGGCUUUGUCUUAGCUAGCCCGCGCUCUUCUUUUUCCUCCUAAAGAAAAACAAAUAUAUAAGGGAAAACUGUGGUACCGUGCCACAAUUGCAUUCAGUCAUUAGAUCUCAAUGAACCCCACCCAUUUAAGUGGAUCCAACUGCUAGAUGCAACUGUGGCAUGAUACCACAGUUGCACCGUAGCCAGACCCAAAUAUAUAUUACUAUUAUUAUUAUUAUUAUUAUUAUUAUUAUUAUUAUUAUUAUUAUUAUUAUUAUUAUUAUUAUUAUUAUUAUUAUUAUUAUUAUUAUUAUUAGGGAAAAUGAUAAACACACCCACAAACGUUUAGGUAAAGGGACAAAAACCUCCCUUAAUGUUUCAAAAAAAAUAUUUACACCCCAAUUUAUUAUAAUUUUACCAUUAUACCCUUCUAGCAUAUAAAAAAAAUUUAUUAGAUUAUCCAAUUUGUCUAUAUAUUGUUAAUAAAAUUAUAAAUAGACAAAUUAGAUAUUAUAAAAAAAUUAUAAAUAUACCAUCAUUGCUCAAUUCCUCUAUUUAAAUUUUUAUCAGUAACCAAUUUUCAAAAAAGACAUCUAUACACCUAAAAAAUUUAUAAAUAAAUUAUAAUUUAAAAAAUAAAAUUAGUUAUUAACAACUAAUUUUAUUUAAACUUUAAACCUGUAUAUUUAACAAUUCUCCACAUGUCAAUCAUUUAAACUUGUACAUUUAUAACCAAUUUUCUAUGUUGUUUAUUAUGGUAUUAAUAACUAAUUUUAUUUUUAAAAUUAUAAUUUAUUUAUAAUUUUUUUAAGUGUAUAGAUGUCUUUUUUAAAAAUUAAUUAUUAAUAAAAAUUUAAAUAGAAGAAUGAGACAAUGUGGGUAUAUUUAUAAUUUUAUUAACAAUAUAUAGAUAAAUUGAAUAAUCUAAUAUUUUUUUAUAUGCUAAAAAUGGUAUAAUAAUAAAAUUAUAAUAAAUUAUGAGUGUAAAUAUUUUUUUUGAAAUAUUAGGAGAAUUUUUGUCCUUGGGUGUGUUUGUCCUUUUCCCUUAUUAUUAUUAAAAAAAGAUUUUAUUUUGAAAACUAGACACUAGUAGAGUUUUUCGGGUCAUUGCCUUCUUGCUGAGCCUGAGUCCUAGAACUGUCCUUCUUCUCCAUGACUUGCUGGAUCCCUUCUUGAUAUCCUUCAAUAAAGCUUUCGAGAGCAUCUCUAUAAGCAGAAGCUCUAGUCAUGUAGACUCGCUGCAGAGCAUGCCUUAAGGUCUCCAUUCCCCCUCUCGCAGCCACCACUAAUUAUUUUAAUUAAUUUUUGUUAUUAAAUAAAUUACGGAAUAAACAUCAGAAUUUAACACAAACUCCACUUGCAAUGCAAUUGUAAA
This 3592-nucleotide long non-coding RNA is filed under the name Citrus sinensis (sweet orange). RNAcentral describes it as "long non-coding RNA (CSIN_LNC002685)". The record is from RNAcentral. Lineage: Eukaryota; Viridiplantae; Streptophyta; Magnoliopsida; Sapindales; Rutaceae.